GCCUCUAUAGUGUUAAUAGGUAGCAUCUCCGACUGUUAAUCGGGCGGUGUAGGUUCGAUUCCUACUGGAGGCG
This 73-nucleotide transfer RNA is filed under the name Promethearchaeota archaeon. Its description in RNAcentral is "Candidatus Lokiarchaeota archaeon tRNA-Asn". It matches the Rfam family "tRNA". From Rfam's summary of the family: Transfer RNA (tRNA) molecules are approximately 80 nucleotides in length. Their secondary structure includes four short double-helical elements and three loops (D, anti-codon, and T loops). Further hydrogen bonds mediate the characteristic L-shaped molecular structure. tRNAs have two regions of fundamental functional importance: the anti-codon, which is responsible for specific mRNA codon recognition, and the 3' end, to which the tRNAs corresponding amino acid is attached (by aminoacyl-tRNA synthetases). tRNAs cope with the degeneracy of the genetic code in two manners: having more than one tRNA (with a specific anti-codon) for a particular amino acid; and 'wobble' base-pairing, i.e. permitting non-standard base-pairing at the 3rd anti-codon position. Lineage: Archaea; Promethearchaeati; Promethearchaeota. The record is from RNAcentral.